UACAGAGGUCUCAAGCGUUAUUCGGAUUCACUGGGCGUAAAGGGUGCGCAGGCGGUCGGGUGUGUCAGAUGUGAAAUCCCGAGGCUCAACCUCGGAACUGCGUCUGAAACUACUCGACUAGAGUACUGGAGAGGGUAACGGAAUUCACGGUGUAGCAGUGAAAUGCGUAGAUAUCGUGAGGAACACCAGAGGCGAAGGCGGUUACCUGGACAGUUACUGACGCUCAGGCACGAAAGCAUGGGGAGCAAAAGGG
Molecule: ribosomal RNA, 253 nt
Filed under: uncultured bacterium
Lineage: Bacteria
Description: partial 16S ribosomal RNA
Rfam family: Bacterial small subunit ribosomal RNA
Source: RNAcentral